GUGGUGUAGUGGUAUUAACACGCGUCCUCGCCAUGGAUGAAACACGGGUUCGAUUCCCGGUUACCG
This is a non-coding RNA of Parelaphostrongylus tenuis, 66 nucleotides long. NCBI's taxonomy places the organism in Eukaryota, Metazoa, Nematoda, Chromadorea, Rhabditida, Metastrongylidae. The record is from the annotation of a GenBank genome assembly.